Long non-coding RNA from Oncorhynchus keta (chum salmon), 343 nucleotides. RefSeq lists it as uncharacterized. The transcript is spliced from 4 exons. The record is from RefSeq and is a predicted model, not a curated record. Lineage: Eukaryota; Metazoa; Chordata; Actinopteri; Salmoniformes; Salmonidae.
UGUCUGCUCUGUGUUUUUAGUCUUAUGUGCCAAGAACCUUGCAAAGAAAGACUUCUUCCGGUUGCCGGACCCAUUUGCAAAGGUCGUGGUGGAUGGAUCAGGACAGUGUCAUUCUACAGACACAGUGAAGAGCACUCUGGACCCCAAAUGGAACCAACACUAUGACCUGUACAUAGGGAAGACAGACUCCAUCACCAUCAGUGUGUGGAACCAUAAGAAGAUCCACAAGCGGCAGGGCGCCGGGUUCCUGGGCUGUAUACGACUGCUGGCUAACUCCAUCAGCAGACUGAAAGACACGGGCUACCAGCGGUUGGAUCUGUGUAAGCUGAAUCCAUCAGACAGU